GCGUGGAUCGCAUAGCCAGGUAGUGCGCCGGCCUUGAAAGCCGGUGUCGAACGACUCGGGGGUUCGAAUCCCUCUCCACGCGC
This 83-nucleotide transfer RNA is filed under the name Methanobacteriota archaeon. Its description in RNAcentral is "Euryarchaeota archaeon (seawater metagenome) tRNA-Ser". It matches the Rfam family "tRNA". From Rfam's summary of the family: Transfer RNA (tRNA) molecules are approximately 80 nucleotides in length. Lineage: Archaea; Methanobacteriati; Methanobacteriota. The record is from RNAcentral.